GUGCUCCUUCGGCGCACAUACAUUAAAAUUGGAUACAGAGCAAGAUGAGCAUGGCCCCUUGCAGGAUGACGUUGCAAAUUCAGAAAGUGUUCCAUAUUGUU
This 101-nucleotide small nuclear RNA is filed under the name Camelus dromedarius (Arabian camel). Lineage: Eukaryota; Metazoa; Chordata; Mammalia; Artiodactyla; Camelidae. The record is from RNAcentral.